GCAUAUCAAUAAGCGGAGGAAAAGAAACUAACAAGGAUUCCCCUAGUAACGGCGAGUGAAGUGGGAAAAGCUCAACUUUGUAAUCUGGCAGCUUCGCUGUCCGAGUUGUAGUCUCGAGAAGUGUUUUUCCGCGCUGGAUCGUGUAUGAGUCUGUUGGAAUACAGCGUCAUAGAGGGUGAGAACCCCGUUCGUGACACGACUACCAGUGCUUUGUGAUACGCUUUCGAUGAGUCGAGUUGUUUGGGAAUGCAGCUCAAAUUGGGUGGUAAAUUCCAUCUAAAGCUAAAUAUUGGCGAGAGACCGAUAGCAAACAAGUACCGUGAGGGAAAGAUGAAAAGCACUUUGGAAAGAGAGUUAACAGUACGUGAAAUUGUUGAAAGGGAAACGCUUGAAGUCAGACGUGCGUUGUGCGAUUCAGCUCCGGUUCGCCGGAGUGUAUUUCGUACUAUUGCAGGCCAGCAUCGGUUUGGCGAGCCGGAUAAAGGUUAGGGAAAGGUAGCGGCUCCGGCCGUGUUAUAGUCCUUAACUGAAUACGGAUUGCUAGACCGAGGGACGCAGCGCGCCGCAAGGCAAAGCUUACGGGCUUUUCGCGCUUAGGAUGCUGGUGAAAUGGC
RNAcentral lists this ribosomal RNA (614 nucleotides) under Symmetrospora aff. marina IMUFRJ 52025. Its description in RNAcentral is "eukaryotic LSU rRNA". It matches the Rfam family "Eukaryotic large subunit ribosomal RNA", at positions 38 to 638 of the family's 3401-position model. The record is from RNAcentral. Lineage: Eukaryota; Fungi; Basidiomycota; Cystobasidiomycetes; Symmetrosporaceae.